Pelobates cultripes (western spadefoot toad) is the source of this 290-nucleotide non-coding RNA. The record is from the annotation of a GenBank genome assembly. NCBI's taxonomy places the organism in Eukaryota, Metazoa, Chordata, Amphibia, Anura, Pelobatidae.
CUGGGGCGUUGCCCCCGCAGCUCCAGAUGCUGAUGCAAACCCGCCAUGUGGACCAAAACGAUGCACGCUGCAGGCCUUACCAAUCGGGAAUCCACUGACUGCGCGGGUUACGCAGGAGUAUUUGGCUCCUGAGAGCCGUGCGGGGACACAUCUGUGAGGCAUAGUGGUAGGUUUGCUGCAUGCGUGUAUCAGCUGCGGCACCCAAGUUCCUCUCACCUUCACCCAGUGUCGGCGGGUAAAUGCGGUCUCUUGCGCCUCCUCCGCACUAUCCAGUGUUGGCUGCAUGGGCG